CAAUAGCGUAUAUUAAAGUUGUUGCAGUUAAAAAGCUCGUAGUUGGAUGUCUGGCUCUGUGUUGCGGUCCACCGCAAGGUGAGCACUGCGAUGUGGGGUCUUCCUCUUGAAUGCUGCGUGUGCUCUUAGUUGAGUGUGCGUGGGGUUUGGGAUCUUACUUGAAAAAUUAGAGUGUUCAAAGCAGGCCACGCAUUGAUACAUUAGCAUGGAAUAAUGGAAUAGGACUUUGGUCUUAUUUUGUUGGUUUCUAAGGCCGAGGUAAUGAUUAAUAGGGAUAGUUGGGGCGUUUAUAUUCCGUUGUCAGAGGUGAAAUUCUUGGAUUUACGGAAGAUAAACUACUGCGAAAGCAUUCGCCAAGGAUGUUUUCAUUAAUCAAGAACGAAAGUUAGGGGAUCGAAGAUGAUUAGAU
RNAcentral lists this ribosomal RNA (409 nucleotides) under uncultured eukaryote. RNAcentral's name for it is "bacterial SSU rRNA". It matches the Rfam family "Eukaryotic small subunit ribosomal RNA", at positions 592 to 1013 of the family's 1831-position model. The record is from RNAcentral.